AAUAGUCAAGCCUAUCGAAUCGCCAUUGUCCCUUGAAGAUGAAUACAUUCUAGAAGCUACCUGUAGACAACCAGCGAGCAACACAGCCUAAUCUGGUGGAUCCCUCCACCACCGGUCUUUUUCCACCGUAGUAGUAGGGAGCAGAGGCACCCCUUGUGUCAGAUAAGUCGAUGCUCCUCUCCUUAUCCUUCUGUAGCUAAUAGAUUGUCUACUCUAUUCCCCUGUUUCGGUGCAUGUCUAAAAAAAUAACUUUGAUAACUUUCACUGAAUGAUCUCGAGUUCCUUAUGUAUGCACUAAUUUCAGAUCUGUCUUCCCUAUCUACAUGAAGCUUUUUCACUAUAGUAAGCACGUCUCACUCUAUCUCCUCUUCUGAAAAUCCCAAGGCCAGACCCAUCUUAACCGUCUAAAAGCAUGCAAGAGCCUCCGUAGCGAACACCGAAGCAUCAAAAUUAAUCUUCACGUAAGGACUUUCCAGCAACAUUCAUCGUUCAGUCUCCACCCUUCGAACAGGAUGCAUUGGAGGUCGGAAUCGAGCGAGAAUAUCACCAAAGGAGAGGGUACCACAAUAUCCUACCAUUGGAAUCACGAUACCUCCAACAUGCCCCAAUUUGAAGACCACUUAUAGUGGUAUCACGAUACCCACCUGCCGAAGGAGCACCCAAGUCAAGUCUAUCGACGGUAUCGAGAUAUCCUAUCCUUGGGUAUCGUAAUACUAACAUCGUGAGGGGACAAAAAAUGACACCAAUGGUAGUCUUUGUCCAAUUGAAGCACCAAUCAUUGAAGGUCUGUUCAAGGGAAUUUUUGGCACAAAAAUGGGUCAGAAAAUUGUUGCUAAAAACAUACAAAUUUGUCUGAGAAGAGGGACACACAAUUAGGCUUAGUUUUAGUUUUAGUUAGUUUCUUUUAGGUUUUCCUUUAGUUUUUCUUUGCACUUUUCUAGGGUUUCUUAUUUUCUAUCUUUCUCCAUAGUUGCAGUGUUUACUUUUCUGCAAUUUUCUUCUUGUUCUUGUUAUCCUUCAAGUUAGUUAAGUUAGGUAACACUAUAGCUUAGGUUUAUUUUCACCCUUAGUCCAUUUCCUUUGCUUAUAAUGACAUUUCAACCUUUUAGUUUAAUGUAUUUCAGUUUCUCAUAGUUUAAUCUAUUAAAGACUCUACCUUUUAUGUU
Long non-coding RNA from Gossypium raimondii (Peruvian cotton), 1166 nucleotides. RefSeq lists it as uncharacterized. The transcript is spliced from 3 exons. NCBI's taxonomy places the organism in Eukaryota, Viridiplantae, Streptophyta, Magnoliopsida, Malvales, Malvaceae. The record is from RefSeq and is a predicted model, not a curated record.